AGAGUUUGAUCAUGGCUCAGAUUGAACGCUGGCGGCAUGCUUUACACAUGCAAGUCGAACGGUAGGGUAGCAAUACCUGAGAGUGGCGAACGGGUGAGUAAUGCAUCGGAACAUGCCUAUUUGUGGGGGAUAGCCCGGCGAAAGCCGGAUUAAUACCGCAUACGAUCUACGGAUGAAAGCUGGGGACCGCAAGGCCUAGCGCAAAUAGAGUGGCCGAUGUCAGAUUAGCUAGUUGGUGGGGUAAAGGCCCACCAAGGCAACGAUCUGUAGCUGGUUUGAGAGAACGACCAGCCACACUGGGACUGAGACACGGCCCAGACUCCUACGGGAGGCAGCAGUGGGGAAUUUUGGACAAUGGGCGCAAGCCUGAUCCAGCAAUGCCGCGUGCAGGAUGAAGGCCUUCGGGUUGUAAACUGCUUUUGUACGGAACGAAACGGCUCUGGUUAAUACCCGGAGCUAAUGACGGUACCGUA
RNAcentral lists this ribosomal RNA (473 nucleotides) under uncultured Malikia sp. RNAcentral's name for it is "bacterial SSU rRNA". It matches the Rfam family "Bacterial small subunit ribosomal RNA", at positions 8 to 482 of the family's 1533-position model. Lineage: Bacteria; Pseudomonadati; Pseudomonadota; Betaproteobacteria; Burkholderiales; Comamonadaceae. The record is from RNAcentral.